AUUGAACGCUGGCGGCAUGCCUUACACAUGCAAGUCGAACGGCAGCACGGGUGCUUGCACCUGGUGGCGAGUGGCGAACGGGUGAGUAAUACAUCUGAACAUGUCCUGUAGUGGGGGAUAGCCCGGCGAAAGCCGGAUUAAUACCGCAUACGAUCUACGGAUGAAAGCGGGGGACCUUCGGGCCUCGCGCUUUAGGGUUGGCCGAUGGCUGAUUAGCUAGUUGGUGGGGUAAAGGCCUACCAAGGCGACGAUCAGUAGCUGGUCUGAGAGGACGACCAGCCACACUGGGACUGAGACACGGCCCAGACUCCUACGGGAGGCAGCAGUGGGGAAUUUUGGACAAUGGGCGAAAGCCUGAUCCAGCAAUGCCGCGUGUGUGAAGAAGGCCUUCGGGUUGUAAAGCACUUUUGUCCGGAAAGAAAUCCUUGGCCCUAAUACGGUCGGGGGAUGACGGUACCGGAAGAAUAAGCACCGGCUAACUACGUG
RNAcentral lists this ribosomal RNA (486 nucleotides) under uncultured bacterium. RNAcentral describes it as "partial 16S ribosomal RNA". It matches the Rfam family "Bacterial small subunit ribosomal RNA", at positions 30 to 507 of the family's 1533-position model. The record is from RNAcentral.